UAUGUGAUCGUCUCUCGCAUAUCAAUAAGCGGAGGAAAAGAAACUAACAAGGAUUCCCCUAGUAACGGCGAGUGAAGCGGGAAGAGCUCAAAUUUGAAAUCUUAAAGGGUUUCCCUUUACGAAUUGUAGUUUAAAGAAGUGUUUUCUGUUGAGGUUUUGGUAAAAGUUCUUUGGAAUAGGACAUCAUAGAGGGUGAGAAUCCCGUAUUUGACCUUUACUUUCAACUUUGUGAUACACUUUCAAAGAGUCGGAUUGUUUGGGAAUGCAGUCCAAAAUGGGUGGUAAAUUUCAUCUAAAGCUAAAUAUUGGCGAGAGACCGAUAGCGAACAAGUACCGUGAGGGAAAGAUGAAAAGAACUUUGAAAAGAGAGUUAAACAGUACGUGAAAUUGUCAAAAGGGAAGCGUUUGACACCAGUGUUGUUUUUCUGAAAAUCAAUUAAAGAACUGUUUAUGCUAAGCUGUUUAGACUUUAUCAGCUAAUCUGUUUAGUUUUGAGCUUUUCUUUAAUGCACUUUUCAGUUAACAAGUCAACAUCAAUUUCUUUUGCUGUAAAAAAGCUUGAGGAAGGUGGCUUGAGAUUCGUUUUAAGUGUUUAUAGCCUCUUGCCUAUGCAGUCGGAGAGGAUUGAGGUCUGCAGCGUAGAUCCUUCGGGGCUAAAUGCAUUUGUGCUAAGUUAUAGCAUUUUAUAGACAACUUGUUGACUAUGAUUUGUCUUGUAGCUUACUCGCUUAUGUUAUUUUACCUACGCUUAGGAUGUUGAGUAGCGACAUACGCAC
RNAcentral lists this ribosomal RNA (776 nucleotides) under uncultured Neocallimastigales. RNAcentral describes it as "partial large subunit ribosomal RNA". It matches the Rfam family "Eukaryotic large subunit ribosomal RNA", at positions 24 to 649 of the family's 3401-position model. Lineage: Eukaryota; Fungi; Neocallimastigomycota; Neocallimastigomycetes; Neocallimastigales. The record is from RNAcentral.